UGAUUUUUUCCAAUCUGUGGAAAGAAUUGUGACUAGGAAACCACUGUGGUACAGGAACUAUGAAUGAAUUCUGCAUUCUUCUUCAUAUGUCUUUAUCAAACGAUAGAUACAGCCUGUCCACUCCAUUCUUUCUCUUUUUCCUAUUCUGUGAUAGCAGAUAAAGACACCAGUUAAAGCCAGUUGUGAAUAUUAGGGCUGUUUUCAGCUCAACUUCUUAGCAAAGCAAGGCUUACAUGCUUACUCUGCAUGCAAUCUUAAUGUCUUAUGAACACUGCUAGCCAAACUCUCCAAACAUACCAGAAGAGCUGAGUUACCAAUAUACUUUGUUCCUACAUUUUCUCCCUCAUUUCAGUCAAAAGGAGCAGCCCAAAAAGUCAUCAGCAGCAUUUUUUUGCUGUAAGUGGGAAAGGUAGAAAAACAGCAGGAGAGCUUUACAUUUGCAUAAGGAGACAAUAUAAAACCUCAGUUUAAAUUGCUUAGUAUCCAUUCACUGAGAGACGCACAUCCACAAGAAAGGAGUUGUGCAGCAACCGACGUUUUCUUAUGUGAAUACUUGUCAACUAGCAGACAAAUCAAAUAAGUCAGUUGGUUCUUUCCAGGCUUACACUUGUAACAUUGAACUUAAAUGCUCCCUAUUUCUGAAUUCUGGUCCUGAGUCUAGGUAAUGAUUUCUUUCUCAGUAGUGACUUGCUGUACUGGUUGAAACAUAAACUACUUAAAUGACUGUACUCCAUGCUUAUUUAUUGUCUCUUGCAGAAUAAUUUUUUCCAAACCUUUCUUGAACUAUAAUGUUCAUCUGGGGAGCUCUGAAUGUAGUCCAUCCUGGAGAUGUCUGCUCCAGAUAUUACCAAAAAAUUGAAUUUUGCAUAAUUCUUUCCAUACGUGCAUGUUGAUUUCUCAGUUAAAUGAUUUAUGGACUCUUUCAGGAUCAAUUUCUGCCUUUGAGAAGAUACAGAAAAAAUAGCAGCUCUAAUGCAAGAGGAGGAUGUGAGGAAAAUCAAAAAGCUUUGUGUUACCAGAGCACUAAAAAAUAUCUCAAAAUGUUUUUCUUAAGAAAGCAGUUUCUGAUGUUUUCAACUCAACUUUCUUCUACCUUGUUUAUACAGGUGAUCAUCAGUUUUCUUCAAUUUCUGGUGUGUCAGUCUCAGAGGAUAUUUACUGAUCACAUAAUAUUGAAUUAGAAUCAUGAAAGUGUUAAUGUGCAAUAUAUGCAACAGAAUGGUGGCUAAAAAUCAACACUGGUGUUCAAGCCUUCAGAAAAAAUAAUGAAAAUAUUCUACUCCUGAGAUUUAAUGCAAAGUGAAUGAAAAGAAACAGUGACAAUACUUUUCCAUGCUCUUAGAAUUAAGAGGAUUCUUACAUUAAUCAAAACCUUUCGCACAUUCUUUUUUCCCAUGCUGAAAAUGGAUCAAAGUUUGAAAAUACAACUCAGAGAUUAUUAUGUUUGCAUGAGUAUUUUACAGUCUAUAAACAAGACCUUUAUUAAGCAAGCAACUUCUGUAUGGAAAAAGUUCAAUUUCCCAUAAAGAAUUCACAGGAAGAGUUGUAUGUUCAAAAUGUACUUUCUAUUUAUUUCAACCCAGAAACUCAUCUGACCAAUUUCCUUUUCAGGAAGGAGGAUAAGUGAAAGCAUAUGCUUGGUCAUUCUAUAUUUUUUUAACUUCUUGAAUUUCAGCAAUAAGGAGAUUUACUUGACUCAGCCUGAACUAGAGAUGGAUAAAGAUUUUUGAUACAGCUGUGAAACUUUCUGCUUCUUUCAGAGCUGAAGAAACACAGCAAUAGAGCCAUCUGCCACAUCUGCUUCUGUUAUGAAGAAUCAAGUAUACUAAGGAAGAUGAUCCAUGGUCAUGGUACAUGUUAAUAUCACCUUCUGACAAAGCAGGAUUUUCUUAUGUUCAGUUACAUACACUGACCUGGUAUUGAGUGGAAGGAUCAGUGCCCUUUCACAACCUUUUGAACUUGUUCAAUAGCCUUUGCUUCUGUUUGGAGAACCUGUUUCUCGUUAAAAAGCUUGAGCAACCAAAUCCAUCCUCCUUGAGCAUUGCAGCUCACACUCCAUAGAAUCACAGAACUCUUGUGGGCUUUCCAAAGUCUGCCUUCUUAAGCUGAUGGUGGUCUCCCACUAUUUCCUUGAAAAUCCACACAACUGUGAUGAGCCAGAUACCUUAGACUUACAAGGACAGCUUUCAUUAACAGCCUUGAAAUGUGAACGCUCAUUGCUGCUUUGAAAUCAAGGCCAAAAAAGCAUUUUAUUUUUACUUGGCAGUAUUAGAGAGCUCUCCACUAAGCCUGCCCAAAACUUUUGUGUUAUUUGAGAUGAAGUGAGAAGAGAAAGCUCCUUCUCUAGAAAUUUUGUACUAGUAAGUCUUUUGUUCAGCUGAACCCAAAGGCAGAAUUUGGAUCAGACGUUGUAAAAUCUCCAUUAUUUCCUAUAGAUUUUCCUAUCACUGUUCAACCCAGCUGAGCAGAUGGUAAUAUUCAUGUAUUGUUCUUCUUUGAACUAUGAAUACAACUGUCAUUUGUCUUCUGUCAGUCUUAUCUUCCUGUUUUUGGUGUUGUUUUUUUUGUUCAUUUGUUUUUUUGUUUGUUUGUUUGUUUUCCUAAAAUAUUUGGUGAUAUGAUCAAAAGGAUGCUGAGGAACUGUUGUGUGUUACUACCCUGGGUAAACUGGCGUCCAAAUCCUGCAGGUUUGAGCUCUUUCUGAGAGAUCAGCUAUUUCAUUUAGCUGCUGUGUGCUGAUUGCUGGAAAAUAGCUGGGAUGGUCUGAAUGACAGUCUUCAUUUCUGGUUCGAUACUGUGCAUCCUCCUCUUGCACGAAGGGUAGAUGUAAUAAUUUUAAGUGGCAUCAUUGAAGCUGGGCAGACAAAUGACAGCUGACAAAAUUGAGUGGAAGUGUCUCAGAAGGCCUAUAAGCACCAGGAAGGCAACGCAGCCUUCACUGCCCAUGAGAGCUGACAAGUGCUGAUGACUUGGAGGCUGUGACCAUACAAUCCUGACAUUAAUCUGGGGCUGGGCAUGAGAGCUGUUCCUGCUUCCUCAUGUCCUCCAUUAUCCAAUGGGUGUCACUGCAGACCUGGACUGCUGUGGGUGCCUUCUUCUGGGCUGGACUCAAAGUAAGCACAAACCAAAGUAUAGAAAUAAUCAAAACAAGUUGCUAUUGAAUAGGAUUUGCAAGUGAGGAUUCUUGCAAGCAGAAGGCUGAGGCUGAAAAGUGAAAGCUUCAAAGGCUUUUUGACUUUUUAGGAGAAAAACUGCCUCUACUUUUCUCCUGAUACACACUGGUACGCUCUCUGCUCCUCCACACCUGCAGAAAUGGAUGGAUGCUCCAAGUCUGCUCCUUUUCUGUUGGAAGAGCUGUGCUAGACAGCUCAGCAGUCUGCAGGUGCCAGCCAGAGUGUAUCUUGCCAAGAAAAGGAGACUACUUCAUGCCUCUGAAGGAAGGUUUAGGGGCUGGUUUCGCACUGGAGAACUUAUUUACAACAUAAAGACCUUCCUGUUUAAGACAGACAAAUCAGAAGCCAUGCAUCAAAUACUAUUUCAGGGGAUCUCAGCAAGUCCUCUCAGAUGAAUACAAAAUUCACCUAAAAAUGGAUUUCCAAAAGAACUGACAAGCUGGCUGUUGUGUCACAUGGACUUUUAGCAGGUGGAUAAGGGGUGAGAAGGGACAACCAGAAAAGACACAGCCAAUUCUUAUGUCAGUGUUCUCAAACUGCAACCAUUCUGUUUUGUUUCUUUGCCUUCUAAAUGGCAUUUUUACCUCAUUAAAAUUAAAGUAGAUUUUAAUAUUAAAACAGCUGUUAAAUAAUGUGAAAACAGAAUAAGUUCACCCAGAUUAAAAAUGUAUAUACAUAUCCUUUUUUUUCUUUGCUCCAUUUCUCCAGAUUCUACCAGGUCAACUCAAACAAAAUGCUUCCCCUACCUCAUCUGUCCAUUACCAGACCAUGAUUUAUUUAGCUUGAAGCCUGUGCUUAAAGGUGCAUCCAGAGCUUUUUCCAACUGCUGGUAUCACAGUGCUGACACUGUGCUGUGACUCUCCUCUG
Long non-coding RNA from Tympanuchus pallidicinctus (lesser prairie-chicken), 4040 nucleotides. RefSeq lists it as uncharacterized. The transcript has 5 exons. The record is from RefSeq and is a predicted model, not a curated record. Lineage: Eukaryota; Metazoa; Chordata; Aves; Galliformes; Phasianidae.